UACAGCGUGUGUGUUCUGCCGGACACUGGCACAUGGUUAAUUGAUUAGUGGAAGUGGUGUGGAAACGCCUGCCGUAGAAGGUGAUAGUCCUGUACGCGAAGAUCAGUUGGUGUGUGUGGUUGUUUUUCCCAAGUAGCAGCGGGCUCGUGGAAUCUGCUGUGAAUCUGCCGGGACCACCCGGUAAGCCUGAAUACUUGAUAUGACCGAUAGCGGAUUAGUACCGUGAGGGAAUGGUGAAAAGUACCCCGGGAGGGGAGUGAAAUAGUACCUGAAACCGUGUGCUUACAAUCCGUCAGAGCCUCACUUGUGGGGUGAUGGCGUGCCUUUUGAAGAAUGAGCCUGCGAGUCAGCGGCAUGUCGCGAGGUUAACCCGUGUGGGGUAGCCGUAGGGAAACCGAAUCCUAAUAGGGUGUGUUAGUGGCAUGUCUUGGACCCGAAGCGGAGUGAUCUACCCAUGGCCAGUGUGAAGCAGAGGUAAGACUUUGUGGAGGCGCGAACCCACUUAGGUUGAAAACUGAGGGGAUGAGUUGUGGGUAGGGGUGAAAGGCCAAUCAAACUCCGUGAUAGCUGGUUCUCCCCGAAAUGCAUUUAGGUGCAGCGUUGUGUGUUUCUUGCCGGAGGUAGAGCUACUGGAUGGUUUAGCGGGACCAACAUCUUAGCGACAUCAGCCAAACUCCGAAUGCCGGUAAGUCAGAGCACAGCAGUGAGACUGCGGGGGAUAAGCUUCGUAGUCGAGAGGGAAACAGCCCAGAUCGCCGGCUAAGGCCCCUAAGGGUGUGCUAAGUGGAAAAGGAGGUGGGGUCGCGAAGACAGCCAGGAGGUUGGCUUAGAAGCAGCCAUCCUUGAAAGAGUGCGUAAUAGCUCACUGGUCGAGUGAUUCCGCGCCGACAAUGUAGUGGGGCUUAAGCACACCGCCGAAGCCGCGGCAAUGAUACUUUAUUGUGUUGUUGGGUAGGGGAGCGUCGUGCACGCGUUGAAGCAGCCUGGUAAUGGUGUUGUGGAGUGUGUGCGAGUGAGAAUGCAGGCAUGAGUAACGAAUGAUGAGUGAGAAACUCAUCCGCCGGAUGACUAAGGGUUCCUGGGUCAAGUUAAUCUUCCCAGGGUGAGUCGGGGCCUAAGGCGAGGCCGACAGGCGUAGUCGAUGGAUAACGGGUUGAUAUUCCCGUACCCGAGUGUGUGCGACCAUGGUGAAUCAGUGAUACUAACCACCCGAAUGCUUCCAUGUGUCAUCUUUGAUGAUGUGUGGUUGUGGUUUGCGUGGGACCUGAUCUGGUAGUAGCUAAGUGAUGGGGUGACGCAGUGAGGUAGCUAAGCCACUUAUUGGAUUGUGGUGUAAGCGUGUAGCACUGUUGGUAGGUAAAUCCGCCAACUAUUAAUGUGUGAGGCGUGAUGCAGAGCCCUUUUGGGGUGAAGUUGGUGAUCCUGUACUGUCGAGAAAAGCCUCUAGCGAUGUACAUAUUCGGCCCGUACCCUAAACCGACACAGGUAGUCAGGUAGAGAAUACUAAGGCGUUCGGGUGAACUGUGGUUAAGGAACUCGGCAAAAUGCCCCCGUAACUUCGGGAGAAGGGGGGCCAUCAUAGGUGAACACCUUUGCGGUGGGAGCGUGUGGUGGUCGCAGAGAAUAGAGGGAAGCGACUGUUUACUAAAAACACAGGUCCGUGCGAAGACGUUUAAGUUGAUGUAUACGGACUGACGCCUGCCCGGUGCUGGAAGGUUAAGAGGACCGGUUAGCUGUUAAAGGCGAAGCUGAGAAUUUAAGCCCCAGUAAACGGCGGUGGUAACUAUAACCAUCCUAAGGUAGCGAAAUUCCUUGUCGGGUAAGUUCCGACCUGCACGAAUGGCGUAACGACUUCCCUGCUGUCUCAACCACAGGCCCGGUGAAAUUGCAGUACGAGUAAAGAUGCUCGUUACGCGCGGCAGGACGAAAAGACCCCGGGACCUUCACUAUAGCUUGGUAUUGGUGUUUGAUUCGGUUUGUGUAGGAUAGGUGGGAGACUUCGAUCAUAUGACGCUAGUUGUGUGUGAGUCGUUGGUGAAAUACCACUCUGAUCGGAUUGAAUGUCUUAACCUUGGCCCAUGAUCUGGGUUGGGGACAGUGCCUGGUGGGUAGUUUAACUGGGGCGGUUGCCUCCCAAAAUGUAACGGAGGCGCCCAAAGGUUUCCUCAGCUUGGUUGGUAAUCAGGUGGUGAGUGUAAGUGCACAAGGGAGCUUGACUGUGAGAGUGACAACUCGAGCAGGGACGAAAGUCGGGACUAGUGAUCCGGCACCAACUUGUGGUUGUGGUGUCGCUCAACGGAUAAAAGGUACCCCGGGGAUAACAGGCUGAUCUUCCCCAAGAGUCCAUAUCGACGGGAUGGUUUGGCACCUCGAUGUCGGCUCGUCGCAUCCUGGGGCUGG
This 2400-nucleotide ribosomal RNA is filed under the name Corynebacterium callunae DSM 20147. Its description in RNAcentral is "bacterial LSU rRNA". It matches the Rfam family "Bacterial large subunit ribosomal RNA", at positions 285 to 2556 of the family's 2925-position model. The record is from RNAcentral. Lineage: Bacteria; Bacillati; Actinomycetota; Actinomycetes; Mycobacteriales; Corynebacteriaceae.